CCUACGGGUGGCAGCAGUGGGGAAUAUUGCACAAUGGGGGAAACCCUGAUGCAGCGACGCCGCGUGAGCGAUGAAGUAUUUCGGUAUGGUAAGCUCUAUCAGCAGGGAAGAAAAUGACGGUACCUGACUAAGCAGCCCCGGCUAACUACGUGCCAGCAGCCGCGGUACUACGGAGGGGGCAAGCGUUAUCCGGAUUUACUGGGUUUAAAGGGAGUGUAGACGGCUGUGCAAGCCCGGUGUGAAAUCCCCGGGCCCAAACCCGGGACUGCAUUUGGAACUGUGUGGCUGGAGUGUGGGAGAGGCAUGCGGAAUGCGUGGUGUAGCGGUGAAAUGCGUAGAUAUUAGGAGGAACACCAGUGGCGAAGGCGGCAUGCUGGACGAUGACUGACGUUGAGGCUCGAAAGCGUGGGGAGCGAACAGGAUUAGAAACCCGAGUAGUC
This 440-nucleotide ribosomal RNA is filed under the name uncultured bacterium. RNAcentral describes it as "partial 16S ribosomal RNA". It matches the Rfam family "Bacterial small subunit ribosomal RNA", at positions 338 to 795 of the family's 1533-position model. The record is from RNAcentral.